This 169-nucleotide ribosomal RNA is filed under the name uncultured bacterium. RNAcentral describes it as "partial 16S ribosomal RNA". It matches the Rfam family "Bacterial small subunit ribosomal RNA", at positions 338 to 524 of the family's 1533-position model. The record is from RNAcentral.
CCUACGGGAGGCAGCAGUGGGGAAUCUUGGACAAUGGGCGCAAGCCUGAUCCAGCCAUGCCGCGUGAGUGAAGAAGGUCUUCGGAUUGUAAAGCUCUUUUACCAGGGACGAUAAUGACGGUACCUGGAGAAUAAGCCCCGGCAAACUUCGUGCCAGCAGCCGCGGUAAU